AUUUAACUAACAUACAGUGUACUAUUAGUUUCAGGGAUAGAAUUUAGUGAUUCAUCAGUUGCAUAUAACACUCAGUGCUCAUUCUAUCAAGUGCCCUCCUUAAUGCCCAUCAACAAGUUACCCCAUCCACCUACUCCUAUCCCCUCCAGGAACCCUCAGUUUGUUUCCUAGAGUUAAGAAUCUCUUAUGUUUGUCUCCCUCUCUGAUUUUGUCUUAUUUUUCAUUCCCUUCCCUUAUGUUAACUGUUUUGUUUCUUAAAUUCCAAAUACAAGUGAAAGAAUAUAUUUGUCUUUCUCUGACUUAUUUCCCUUAGCAUAAUACUCUCUAGUUCCAUCCACAUCAUUGAAAAUGGCAAGAUUCCAUUCUUUUUUGAUGGCUGAAUAAUGUUCUGGUGUGUGUGUGUGUGUGUGUGUGUGUGUGUGUGUAUGACAUCUUCUUUAUCCAUUCAUCUGUUAAUGGAAAUCUGGGCUCUUUCUAUAUUUUAAAGUGAGCCACACUUUUUUUUUUUUUUUAUAGAAACAAUGAACAGCAGAGUGUAUGGAAAUUAGUCAGGCCACAUAAGCAGACAAAGCCACAGUGUAACUAAAACAUAGCACUCUAAUACCCUGACUGUAUCCACCACAUAGAACAGGACCACUUGGAAAGGUAUGUUCUGACAUUGCAGCCCUGAUAGCAGCACUAGAGAUUUUCCCUUCCUCUCACUAACUUCUCAGCCAGGGUCCCUCCUCUGUUCAAGGCCAACGGUAGUGGAUAUCACCAUGGCUGCCCUCCCCAACAAAAAUUAGCUGGUAAAGGUUUAUAAGAUAUUAUCUGGGAACAGUAGUGGGAAAAGAAGAGCUUUAGCAUAAAACAGCUCAUCUGCAGUAAGUAAACAUCCCCACCAUUGGUGGAUCAGAGAGCAAAGUUCUAGGCCUUGGAGCUAUAGUGGAAAAGAUACUCACCAGGAGAACAAUUCUGAAGUCAUUCUUACUACAAGAGGAUUCCUAACUCAAUAUAUGCCAUGUCUUAAAAGCCAACAGGGAAAAAUAGGUGACUCCAGGACACCAUAAAUACACUGGCUUCAGUUAUACUUAAAAACUACACAUCAACACUAAUGAAAAGAGGUAGACUUAGACUAUGUCAGAGCUUAGGAAACUGAGGCAGAGAUUUCCCAUUGUCAUGUGGGAGCUCUAGGGAUGGAGCACAGCCAGAACCUGGAUCUUCUGAGUCUCAAGCUGUUAAUUUUUCAUGACAUGACAUUGCUAACAAGCCUGAGUCAAGGUCCUUAAUGUUAAAAAAAAAAAAAAAA
This 1288-nucleotide long non-coding RNA is filed under the name Canis lupus familiaris (dog). RNAcentral describes it as "lncRNA (ENSCAFG00000055188.1)". The record is from RNAcentral. Lineage: Eukaryota; Metazoa; Chordata; Mammalia; Carnivora; Canidae.